GGCACUUGUGCGUAUUUUUGUCUUAAAUUGUAGACUAAAACUUAAUGGACAGUUGUAAAAAAAAAGUUCUCUUUUGCAAUCUAGAAUUCAUUGUUCGUUAUGAGUUUUGAUAUAUAUAAGAAGAAAUAUU
This 130-nucleotide small nucleolar RNA is filed under the name Chinchilla lanigera (long-tailed chinchilla). RNAcentral's name for it is "Small nucleolar RNA SNORA40 (ENSCLAG00000018676.1)". It matches the Rfam family "Small nucleolar RNA SNORA40". From Rfam's summary of the family: The snoRNA ACA 40 belongs to the H/ACA family of snoRNAs and guides the pseudouridylation of 28S rRNA subunit at position U4565. The record is from Rfam by way of RNAcentral. Lineage: Eukaryota; Metazoa; Chordata; Mammalia; Rodentia; Chinchillidae.